AGUGAACGCUGGCGGCAGGCCUAAUACAUGCAAGUCGAACGGCAGCACAGCAGAGCUUGCUCUGUGGGUGGCGAGUGGCGGACGGGUGAGGAAUCCAUGGGAAUCUGCCCAGUCGUGGGGAUAACGUAGGGAAACUUACGCUAAUACCGCAUGCGCCCUUCGGGGAAAGCCGGGGACCUUCGGGCCUGGCGCGAUUGGAUGAGCCCAUGUCGGAUUAGCUAGUUGGCGGGGUAAUGGCCCACCAAGGCGACGAUCCGUAGCUGGUCUGAGAGGAUGAUCAGCCACACUGGAACUGAG
Molecule: ribosomal RNA, 297 nt
Filed under: uncultured bacterium
Lineage: Bacteria
Description: partial 16S ribosomal RNA
Rfam family: Bacterial small subunit ribosomal RNA
Source: RNAcentral